CCAUGCCGUAAACGAUGAUUACUAAGCGUCGGGGGUCGAACCUCGGCACUCAAGCUAACGCGAUAAGUAAUCCGCCUGGGGAGUACGUACGCAAGUAUGAAACUCAAAGGAAUUGACGGGGACCCGCACAAGUGGUGGAGCAUGUGGUUUAAUUCGACGCAACGCGAGGAACCUUACCAGCGUUUGACAUCCUAAGAAAGUGAAAGAGAUUUCGCUGUGCUCCUUCGGGAGAACUUAGAGACAGGUGGUGCAUGGCUGU
Molecule: ribosomal RNA, 259 nt
Filed under: uncultured bacterium
Lineage: Bacteria
Description: partial 16S ribosomal RNA
Rfam family: Bacterial small subunit ribosomal RNA
Source: RNAcentral